RNAcentral lists this ribosomal RNA (331 nucleotides) under uncultured bacterium. RNAcentral describes it as "bacterial SSU rRNA". It matches the Rfam family "Bacterial small subunit ribosomal RNA", at positions 568 to 899 of the family's 1533-position model. The record is from RNAcentral.
CGCGUAGGCGGAUAGUUAAGUCAGAGGUGAAAGCCCAGGGCUCAACCUUGGAACUGCCUUUGAUACUGGCUAUCUUGAGUUCGGGAGAGGUGUGUGGAACUCCGAGUGUAGAGGUGAAAUUCGUAGAUAUUCGGAAGAACACCAGUGGCGAAGGCGACACACUGGCCCGAUACUGACGCUGAGGCGCGAAAGCGUGGGGAGCAAACAGGAUUAGAUACCCUGGUAGUCCACGCCGUAAACGAUGAGUGCUAGUUGUCGGCAUGCAUGCAUGUCGGUGACGCAGCUAACGCAUUAAGCACUCCGCCUGGGGAGUACGGUCGCAAGAUUAAAA